CCUACGGGUGGCUGCAGUGAGGAAUAUUGGUCAAUGGGCGCGAGCCUGAACCAGCCAAGUAGCGUGAAGGAUGACUGCCCUACGGGUUGUAAACUUCUUUUAUAAAGGAAUAAAGUGAGGCAAGUGUGCAGUUUUGUAUGGACGUUAUGAAUAAGGAUCGGCUAACUCCGUGCCAGCAGCCGCGGUAAUACGGAGGAUCCGAGCGUUAUGCGGAUUUAUUGGGGUUAACGGGAGCGGAGCUGGGUUCUUAAGUCAGUUGUGAAAGUUUGCGGCUCAACCGUAAAAUUGCAAUUGAUACUGGCAGUCUUGAGUCCAGUUGAGGUAGGCGGAAUUCGUUGUGUAGCGGU
RNAcentral lists this ribosomal RNA (347 nucleotides) under uncultured bacterium. Its description in RNAcentral is "partial 16S ribosomal RNA". It matches the Rfam family "Bacterial small subunit ribosomal RNA", at positions 338 to 682 of the family's 1533-position model. The record is from RNAcentral.